This 217-nucleotide long non-coding RNA is filed under the name Elaeis guineensis (African oil palm). Its description in RNAcentral is "long non-coding RNA (EGUI_LNC005204)". The record is from RNAcentral. Lineage: Eukaryota; Viridiplantae; Streptophyta; Magnoliopsida; Arecales; Arecaceae.
GAUCCGACCCAUUUGCACCCAUAGAGUUUUCUAAUAUAGCAAGCAAGGAGAGGAAAUGACCCGAACUGCCGUGGUAGUAGUUAAAGUGAUUACUCUUGAUUGUAACUCAUUAUCGAGAACCAUGAAUGAGAACAUAUUUCCCUAAGUUAAUAGUUUUAAGGAAAUGCUGUGAAUUCUAUAGAUGUUAUCAAGAAGUAUAUAAAGCCUAUAGACACAC